Molecule: ribosomal RNA, 460 nt
Filed under: uncultured bacterium
Lineage: Bacteria
Description: partial 16S ribosomal RNA
Rfam family: Bacterial small subunit ribosomal RNA
Source: RNAcentral
CCUACGGGCGGCAGCAGUGAGGAAUAUUGGUCAAUGGACGAGAGUCUGAACCAGCCACGUAGCGUGAAGGAUGACUGCCCUAUGGGUUGUAAACUUCUUUUAUAUGGGAAUAAUAUGUUCCACGUGUGGGAUGUUGUAUGUACCUUAUGAAUAAGCAUCGGCUAACUCCGUGCCAGCAGCCGCGGUAAUACGGAGGAUCCGAGCGUUAUCCGGAUUUAUUGGGUUUAAAGGGAGCGUAGGUGGAUUUUUAAGUUAGUUGUGAAAGUUUGCGGCUUAACCUUAAAAUUGCAGUUGAAACUGGAAGUCUUGAGUACAGUAGAGGUGGGCGGAAUACGUGGAGUAGCGGUGAAAUGCUUAGAUAUAACGAAGAACUCCGAUUGCGAAGGCAGCUCACUGGACUGCAACUGACACUGAGGCUCGAAAGUGUGGGUAUCAAACAGGAUUAGAUACCCGAGUAGUC